This 255-nucleotide ribosomal RNA is filed under the name uncultured Phormidium sp. RNAcentral's name for it is "partial 16S ribosomal RNA". It matches the Rfam family "Bacterial small subunit ribosomal RNA", at positions 62 to 345 of the family's 1533-position model. The record is from RNAcentral. Lineage: Bacteria; Bacillati; Cyanobacteriota; Cyanophyceae; Oscillatoriales; Oscillatoriaceae.
UCGACGGUCCUUUCGGGGAUAGUGGCGGACGGGUGAGUAACGCGUGAGAAUCUGCCUUUAGGACGGGGACAACAGUUGGAAACGGCUGCUAAAACCCGAUGUGCCCUUCGGGGUGAAAUAUUUAUAGCCUGAAGAUGAGCUCGCGUCUGAUUAGCUAGUAGGUGAGGUAAAGGCUCACCUAGGCGACGAUCAGUAACUGGUCUGAGAGGAUGACCAGUCACACUGGGACUGAGACACGGCCCAGACUCCUACGGG